GGACUACCCGGGUUUCUAAUCCUGUUUGCUCCCCUAGCUUUCGUGCCUCAGUGUCAGGAGUUGUCCAGGGACUCGCCUUCGCCACUGGUGUUCCUCUCGAUAUCUACGCAUUUCACUGCUACACCGAGAAUUCCAGUCCCCCCUCCAACCCUCGAGCAAGGUAGUUUCCAAUGCCAUUUCGGAGUUGAGCUCCGAGCUUUCACAUCCGACUUACCUCACCACCUACGCACCCUUUACGCCCAGUGAAUCCGAACAACGCUCGGGACCUCUGUAUUACCGCGGCGGCUGGCAC
RNAcentral lists this ribosomal RNA (292 nucleotides) under uncultured bacterium. Its description in RNAcentral is "partial 16S ribosomal RNA". RNAcentral also lists the same sequence under 1 other name. The record is from RNAcentral.